Long non-coding RNA from Thalassophryne amazonica, 277 nucleotides. RefSeq lists it as uncharacterized. The record is from RefSeq and is a predicted model, not a curated record. Lineage: Eukaryota; Metazoa; Chordata; Actinopteri; Batrachoidiformes; Batrachoididae. The transcript has 3 exons.
GGUGUGCUCUUCCGACAGUCAUCACAGCUUCAUCAAAGCCAAAGUGAUGAGAGCACAGAGGCUGAGCCUGUAGCCAGGAGCUCAUCCGUACACAGAACAAUGACAGCAGAAACUGAUGGAGAGGAUGAUGAAGGACCACAACCAUCCAGCAACUCAGGUCCAAACAAUCAUUUACAACCAGAUACCAGUGGCAGGAGUUUCAGACAGUUCAGGAACUGAGACAGAUGACAGUGAUGACUGGAAACAGACCAGAAAACAUCAUCAAGUUUUAACUGUC